This 1398-nucleotide long non-coding RNA is filed under the name Marmota monax (woodchuck). Lineage: Eukaryota; Metazoa; Chordata; Mammalia; Rodentia; Sciuridae. The record is from RNAcentral.
UCCUUUGGGCUGCUUCCCUGCUUUUCUUGGCUUCCCUGCAUGGCAGAACACUAGCACUGCCUGCUUGCCCAGCCCCACCCUUCCCUGAUCUUUCAGGAUGCAGCCCUCCUCUAGGUCCCUAGCCUGGUAUCUCUGCUGGGGUCCUGGCCCCCACCCACUCAAAAGACAUCCUGCAGCACUUCCUGCUGUGCCCUCCUGGGACCUCCUGUUGUCACUCUCCCUGAGGUGGCCCUUUUCAUGAUCCCUUUACCAGGAUGCUCACCAGGGCCAGGGUACUGGACCUGGCCUUUGGCCCUGCAGGCUCUCUUUUGGAAAAUGUAGUCCUUCCCCUUUUUCUGGACCCUUUGGCCUCCCUCAGCCUGGGCCCAGCUCCCAAACCCUGACACCCAUCAAUGGACCUGAGCCUUGAGCCCUCCUCUUCCUGCACCAGCUGUGCCCCUUUCUUCCCUCCCUCCCCUCCCUAGAUGUAUCUGUUUUCAUGGGACCCCUGCCCAGGCCAAUGCACUUGAAUCUCCAUUCCUGGGCUGGGCUGUUGCUUGAGGCCACCCUUCUCUAGGACCCUGUCCCUUUUCCUUGAUUCCAAACACCUUUUUUGAGCCCCCUCCUGUGCUUCCCUUCUGUUCUCCUUCUAUUGAAUUGUCACCCCCUUCCUCUACAGAAAAGUCUUAACUGGGCUUCUCCAGAAUUUUUUACCAUGGCUGUUUUUAGGACUGUCAGAAAAAGAAUCUCUGCAAAAAAGCUCACUGUUGAUUAACUUUCUAUUUUCCUAUUGCCCUGUUUUACUUGGCCACCAGCCAAGUAGAUAACAACACUCCAGGUGCUGGGCACCCCUUACUAGCUUUUCACAAACAUAUCCAGUAUAGUACUUUGUAGAAAUGUGUAAACAAGGCUGCUGGCCUUGAGCUGGGCUUCACAGAGAUGUCUACAUUUUUAAGAUAUGCUACCAACUGGGCUCCAUGGUAACAACUGGCAGGGAGAGGAAAAAUGGGGAAAAGAAGCUCUCCCCUUUUCAGGAGUUGUCUUUGAAGAGUUAACUUGCCCAAAACAGUGAAAGAAAAAGCUGAUUUUAUGUGAAAUUUUUCAGACUGUGAACUUCUGAACCUCUCCCCUUACUUGCUGGGUAUAAAAUUCUGAAACUACCUGAACUCGGGUUUCAUGGGAUUGAUUGAUUACAGCAAAAGCAGUGCCCUCUAAGCCUGGUUGCAGCCAAAUAAAACUGUUUCCUGCUAUGUUCCGUGCCUUGCCUCGUUUGUCCCUAAAACAUUUGUGGGGACCCAGAUGGGACAGAGGAUGUAGGAAAGGCUAUUGUGCCUCUCUUAUCUCUGGGGACCCACUUCCCUGGGGUGGUGGGGGUCAGCGUUCCCCUUGGCUCACCCAGGCAACUCUUGGCCUGAAGGA